This 275-nucleotide ribosomal RNA is filed under the name uncultured bacterium. Its description in RNAcentral is "partial 16S ribosomal RNA". It matches the Rfam family "Bacterial small subunit ribosomal RNA", at positions 523 to 796 of the family's 1533-position model. The record is from RNAcentral.
AGACGGAGGGGGCUAGCGUUGUUCGGAAUUACUGGGCGUAAAGCGCGCGUAGGCGGUUAUUCAAGUUGAGGGUGAAAUCCCAGGGCUCAACCCUGGAACUGCCUUCAAAACUGAAUUGACUUGAGAUCGGGAGAGGAGAGUGGAAUUCCCAGUGUAGAGGUGAAAUUCGUAGAUAUUGGGAAGAACACCAGUGGCGAAGGCGGCUCUCUGGCCCGACUCUGACGCUGAGGUGCGAAAGCGUGGGGAGCAAACAGGAUUAGAAACCCCGGUAGUCC